GGAGUUAGCCGGUGCUUCUUCUGUGAGUGAUGUCCUUCCUGCCGGUUAUUGACCCGCAGGCCUUCUUCCUCACUGAAAGUGCUUUACAACCCGAAGGCCUUCUUCACACACGCGGCAUGGCUGGAUCAGGGUUGCCCCCAUUGUCCAAUAUUCCCCACUGCUGCCUCCCGUAGGAGUCUGGGCCGUGUCUCAGUCCCAGUGUGGCUGAUCAUCCUCUCAGACCAGCUACGGAUCGUCGCCUUGGUGAGCCGUUACCUCACCAACCAGCUAAUCCGACAUAGGCUCAUCCGAUAGCGCGAGGCCCGAAGGUCCCCCGCUUUCCCCCGUAGGGCGUAUGCGGUAUUAGCCUGGGUUUCCCCAGGUUAUCCCCCACUACCGGGGCAGAUUCCUAUGCAUUACUCACCCGUCCGCCGCUCGCCACCAGGGAGCAAGCUCCCCGUGCUGCCGCUCGACUUGCAUGUGUUAGGCCUGCCGCCAGCGUUCAAUCUGAGCCAUGAUCAAACUCUGA
RNAcentral lists this ribosomal RNA (508 nucleotides) under uncultured bacterium. RNAcentral's name for it is "partial 16S ribosomal RNA". The record is from RNAcentral.